CGAAUGGAGCUGUCGGUAGCCUAUGGAAAUCAGUUAUACGAUAGACGAAUAGGCGUUUAUUAGUUAGAACGUAAGUCUAACUACGUGAAUGCAUAGUAGUCGACGUUUAGCGCAUUUUCCAUAGGUUUGCACUGCAACCGGUAUAUACGGCUGUCAUAGGCGUACGCGAUUGAGGGCGAGAACCUUCGGGCUUUCGUAACCAGUCGUCGUGCGUUUUCGUCAGACCGUCGUUAUCGGCGAUAUGUGACGUUACGACGACGUCGGCUGUAAAGCUCGUUUGAGCGAUAUGGCGAUCGGCCAUUCGGUUGGUAUCUGCUCGCAGAUGCCCGAUCGAAUCGGUCAGUCGUUCAUUCGUUCGGCGAUGUUCGACGUCGUGGCGUUCGCAGUGUCUGCGUCAGUCACCCAUUCGACCCGUCUUGAAACACGGACCAAGGAGUCUAACAUAUGCGCGAGCCAAUAAGUAUAAAUAAACUUAGAGGCGCAAUAAAAGUAAAAACUGUCCUUGUCGGCAGUCUAGGUACGAUCCUAGUUGUGUAUUAACGUAUACACUAGGCGCAGUACCGUCCCGUCCCAUCCUUUUAUAGGUAGGGCGGAGAAAGAGUGCAUACGUUGGGACCCGAAAGAUGGUGAACUAUGCCUGAGCAGAGCGAAGCCAGAGGAAACUCUGGUGGAGGUUCGUAGCGGUUCUGACGUGCAAAUCGAUCGUCAGACUUGGGUAUAGGGGCGAAAGACUAAUCG
Molecule: ribosomal RNA, 738 nt
Filed under: Clavicaudoides sp. Dory28
Lineage: Eukaryota; Metazoa; Nematoda; Enoplea; Dorylaimida; Nygolaimidae
Description: partial large subunit ribosomal RNA
Rfam family: Eukaryotic large subunit ribosomal RNA
Source: RNAcentral